CCUACGGGAGGCAGCAGUAAGGAAUAUUGGUCAAUGGGCGGAAGCCUGAACCAGCCAUGCCGCGUGCAGGAAGACGGCCCUACGGGUUGUAAACUGCUUUUGCAGGGGAAUAAACCCCGGUACGUGUACCGGGCUGAAUGUACUCUGAGAAUAAGGAUCGGCUAACUCCGUGCCAGCAGCCGCGGUAAUACGGAGGAUCCAAGCGUUAUCCGGAUUUAUUGGGUUUAAAGGGUGCGUAGGCGGCCUAUUAAGUCAGGGGUGAAAGACGGUAGCUUAACUAUCGCAGUGCCUUUGAUACUGAUGGGCUUGAAUGGACUAGAGGUAGGCGGAAUGUGACAAGUAGCGGUGAAAUGCAUAGAUAUGUCACAGAACACCAAUUGCGAAGGCAGCUUACUAUGGUUUAAUUGACGCUGAGGCACGAAAGCGUGGGGAUCAAACAGGAUUAGAUACCCUGGUAGUCCACGCCCUAAACGAUGAACACUCGAUGUUAGCGAUAUACAGUUAAGCGUCUAAGCGAAAAGCGUUAAGUGUUCCACCUGGGGAGUACGCCGCAAGGGUGAAACUCAAAGGAAUUGACGGCGUUGAGAGNGCGACGGACGACGACGAGGAGGAGG
This 614-nucleotide ribosomal RNA is filed under the name uncultured bacterium. RNAcentral describes it as "bacterial SSU rRNA". It matches the Rfam family "Bacterial small subunit ribosomal RNA", at positions 338 to 953 of the family's 1533-position model. The record is from RNAcentral.